AAUCCAUAGGUUAAUGAGGCGAACCGGGGGAACUGAAACAUCUAAGUACCCCGAGGAAAAGAAAUCAACCGAGAUUCCCCCAGUAGCGGCGAGCGAACGGGGAGGAGCCCAGAGCCUGAAUCAGCAUGUGUGUUAGUGGAAGCGUCUGGAAAGGCGCGCGAUACAGGGUGACAGCCCCGUACACAAAAGCGCAUGUGCUGUGAGCUCGAUGAGUAGGGCGGGACACGUGGUAUCCUGUCUGAAUAUGGGGGGACCAUCCUCCAAGGCUAAAUACUCCUGACUGACCGAUAGUGAACCAGUACCGUGAGGGAAAGGCGAAAAGAACCCCGGCGAGGGGAGUGAAAAAGAACCUGAAACCGUGUACGUACAAGCAGUGGGAGCACAGGUUUACCUGUGUGACUGCGUACCUUUUGUAUAAUGGGUCAGCGACUUAUAUUCUGUAGCAAGGUUAACCGAAUAGGGGAGCCGGAGGGAAACCGAGUCUUAAUUGGGCGUUAAGUUGCAGGGUAUAGACCCGAAACCCGGUGAUCUAGCCAUGGGCAGGUUGAAGGUUGGGUAACACUAACUGGAGGACCGAACCGACUAAUGUUGAAAAAUUAGCGGAUGACCUGU
This 612-nucleotide ribosomal RNA is filed under the name Salmonella enterica. RNAcentral describes it as "partial 23S ribosomal RNA". It matches the Rfam family "Bacterial large subunit ribosomal RNA", at positions 161 to 812 of the family's 2925-position model. The record is from RNAcentral. Lineage: Bacteria; Pseudomonadati; Pseudomonadota; Gammaproteobacteria; Enterobacterales; Enterobacteriaceae.